CCUACGGGCGGCAGCAGUGAGGAAUAUUGGUCAAUGGACGAGAGUCUGAACCAGCCAAGUAGCGUGAAGGAUGACUGCCCUAUGGGUUGUACACUUCUUUUAUAUGGGAAUAAAAUGUUCCACGUGUGGGAUUUUGUAUGUACCAUAUGAAUAAGGAUCGGCUAACUCCGUGCCAGCAGCCGCGGUAAUACGGAGGAUCCGAGCGUUAUCCGGAUUUAUUGGGUUUAAAGGGAGCGUAGGUGGAUUGUUAAGUCAGUUGUGAAAGUUUGCGGCUCAACCCCGUCGUGCCGUUGAAACUGGCGUUCUUGAGUGAGCGAGAAGUAUGCGGAAUGCGUGGUGUAGCGGUGAAAUGCAUAGAUAGCACGCAGAACUCCGAUUGCGAAGGCAGCAUACCGGCGCUCAACUGACGCUCAUGCACGAAAGCGUGGGUAUCGAACAGGAUUAGAUACCCCUGUAGUC
This 459-nucleotide ribosomal RNA is filed under the name uncultured bacterium. RNAcentral's name for it is "partial 16S ribosomal RNA". It matches the Rfam family "Bacterial small subunit ribosomal RNA", at positions 338 to 795 of the family's 1533-position model. The record is from RNAcentral.